GCAGCAGUGGUUCAGUGGUAGAAUUUUCACCUCCCACGAGGGAGACCCAGGUUCGAUUCCUGGUCAACGCA
RNAcentral lists this transfer RNA (71 nucleotides) under Loxodonta africana (African savanna elephant). It matches the Rfam family "tRNA". From Rfam's summary of the family: Transfer RNA (tRNA) molecules are approximately 80 nucleotides in length. Their secondary structure includes four short double-helical elements and three loops (D, anti-codon, and T loops). Further hydrogen bonds mediate the characteristic L-shaped molecular structure. tRNAs have two regions of fundamental functional importance: the anti-codon, which is responsible for specific mRNA codon recognition, and the 3' end, to which the tRNAs corresponding amino acid is attached (by aminoacyl-tRNA synthetases). tRNAs cope with the degeneracy of the genetic code in two manners: having more than one tRNA (with a specific anti-codon) for a particular amino acid; and 'wobble' base-pairing, i.e. permitting non-standard base-pairing at the 3rd anti-codon position. Lineage: Eukaryota; Metazoa; Chordata; Mammalia; Proboscidea; Elephantidae. The record is from Rfam by way of RNAcentral.